GGCCAUGUUGGUUAACAGAUCCUCAUCUGCUGGACGUCUGGCGAUGAUCUUUAUCGGUUGUCGUCAGUUGCCAGCACGUUUACUUUGAGAAAAUUAGAGUGCUAAAAAGCAGGCUCACGCCUAUAUAUAUUGCAUGGAAUAAUGAAAUAAGAUCUCGAUUUUAUUUCGUUGGUUUUAGAAAUUGAGAUAAUGAUUAAUAGGAUCAGAGGGGGGCGUACGUACUGUGGUGUGAGAGGUGAAAUUCUUGGAUCGCCACAGGACGAACAGCAGCGAAGGCGUUCGCCAAGAAUGUUUUCAUUAAUCAAGAACGAAAGUUUGAGGUUCGAAGACGAUUAGAUACCGUCCUAGUUCAAACCAUAAACGUUGCCAACUGUCUUUUAGAUGCGGUUAUUUAUAUGACUCAUCUGGCGGAUCUCGAGAAAUCUAAGUUUUUAGGUUCCGGGGGAAGUAUGGUUGCAAAGCUGAAACUUAAAAGAAUUGACGGAAGGACACACAAGAAGUGGAGCCUGUGGCCUAAUUUGACUCAACACGGGAAACCUUACUCGGCCAGGACACUUUUAGGAUUGACAGAUUGAGAGCUCUUUCUUGAUUAGGUGGGUGGUGGUGCAUGGUCGUUCGUAGUUCGUGGAGCGAUUUGUCUGAUUAAUUUCGAUAACGAACGAGACUCCGGCUUACUAAAUAGUCUAAAGUUCGAAGGGACUUUUCAAGACUUCUUAGCAGGAUAAGUGG
RNAcentral lists this ribosomal RNA (729 nucleotides) under uncultured eukaryote. RNAcentral's name for it is "SSU rRNA". It matches the Rfam family "Eukaryotic small subunit ribosomal RNA", at positions 674 to 1426 of the family's 1831-position model. The record is from RNAcentral.